UAUAAGCAUUUAGGUUAUUCCUAGAAUUUUAUACGUACAUGUGCAAUUCUUUUGGGGGGAGGAUAAAUUCAAAGUGUAGCCCACGUAAAUUGGGGGCAAUCCCACCAGGUUGUCCUAACAAAGGCUCUAGGAACUUAUUUUCACCACAGACUUAUAAGAAGGCCUACUUUUAUAAUCAAAAAAAUAUUUUUAAGGAUAAUUUGGUAGUUCGUGUCCAACUUUUACAAUUCCACUAAGGCAAUUACACAAGUGUACAAAUAUACAGGCAUAAGGAUGAUCUUUGCAGAGACAGUGAAGAGCUGGAAACCAACCAAACACCCCACAAAAGAUAAAAAUUCCAGGAGCCUCUGUCCUGUGUGCAGGGUAAGGAUGGUUAGAUGUGUCAGGAGAGCCCCAGGGUAGGGAGGGGGUGUUUAAGCCCAUGCACCUUACCCUCGCUGCGCUCAGCUUCACAGAAUCCCAGCGCCUCUGGGUCUCUCCCUGAACACGCCCAGUACCCUCUAUGCUGAGAUGGGGGCAGGGGGCCAACCCAGUGUAGAUCCCACACCAGCCAUCAGGGGCCACAGUUUGGUGACUUGUUGGGUGGGCUCAGGACUGGGCAGAUGAAGCCUGGGCAGGGGUUCAAUCCAGCUCCGGGAACUGUGGAUUCGCAGAGCUGCAGAGGCCCCUGUGGUGUGUGAACAGAGGGUCGGGCUCACCUGCGGUAGGAGCACCACCUGUCCUAUUUCCACGGUCCCUUCCUCGGGGUUUGCCGCAGCAACACGGCAGGGGAAGUGGUGAAAGCACUCUGCAAACCCAAAUCCACUAGGAGUAGAGUCCAUACAGCUUGCAGAAGCCUCCCCGCUCUGCCUUGCACGUCCUGCCUCGCGUACAACCGUGCACUGCAAAUAGUGUUGGGCAGGCACAAGUUUUUUUGUAAUUUUAAAAAAGAAAGGAAGUAGGAAAAAUGCAACAGGCACAUAAAGAAAGGCCUGACCCUAAGAAUAAAUAAAUGAAGAACACUCUCAUUAGUUAGUCUAUGAAGUUCUACCUUAAAAUAUCUGGGGAGAGAGGGUGUUAGGAACUUAAAUAAUUUGUCUUUAUCUCCCAUCACAUUGCAAGGCCUAGCGGAGGAGCAAACCAGGACUUCCUCAGGUACCUGGGCCUCACCUGCCCCAGAGAAUGAAGAGACCAGUCUCACCGUGCAGUCUGGGCAAGACACCAGGGUGGUGAGGCUAUCUGGGCAUCAUGUUCUCCUGAGAUGCACAGGGAACGGAGUGGAUCUGGGCUUCAUUCUCUAAACUUCCAGGAGAAAAACUAUCUGCUGCCCAGAGGGGCCUUGGUGACCCUGGGGGACCUGGAGGGGCCUGCGGGGCUGGACUGACUUGCUCCAGGACCUCACUGCUAGGACAGCAGCCCCUGGUCCUCACCCCCAGGGUGCUCCUUCUGGUCCUCCAGCACAGGUCCCAGUUUGCCAGGCCAUGUUCAGCAAACCUACAGAAAGCUGACUGGGAGAACUACAGACCACAGAAGGAAAAGGAAACCGCAAAACCCACUUGCCAGCUGAUCCCCUUCUAGUUCAUAUUUUACGGCACAUCUUAAAGGAGUCGGCACGAACUAGAGACGCCUAGAAUGUGGUCCAAACACCAGGCGCUUCAAGAGAGGAGCAGUCGAAGAGCUGAAACAGGAUCUCGAGGGUGACAGCUGCAGCUCUGGCAGUUACCUUGAGCCACUCAGCUCAGAAGCAGCGGGCAGCACUGAGCCCUGGAGGCCAGGUGGGCUCAGGAUCUGGCAACUUCCUUACUCCUCACCUGUGCCUGGUCCAGGCCUCUCCAGGGUCCCAGGGGACUUGGUGGAUGCUCAGUCACUGCUGUACCGUUGUCAUGACAGCAGCUGGAGGAAAGGUAACGUGUGACUCUGAGUAUGACCUUAGGCCACCUGCCUUGCCCCUUCAGCUGGCUGAGGGCUCUGGUGGGGCCUAACAAUGUUUUAUAAGGUAGCUGAAUAAACAGCUGAAACCCUGAUUAAAGAAGUAAGAGCCCCAAACACAAAACCUUUCAAGGUAACAAUAUAGGACAGGGCUCCUUCACUUACUCUUUCAAUGAUUUGUUUGUCACCUACUGUUAACGAACCAAACUUGGGUCCACUUUCCCUUGCACGGUAAAGCCAAUCUACUGACACUGGUCUGUGAUGAAGGAAAGUGCAGCAUUUAUUGCAGGGUGCCAAACAACUAGUCUAGGCAGCUAGUGCUUAAAAAACCCAAACUCCCCAAAGGCUUUCAGGGAAAGGAUUUUAAAGACAGGGUGAGGGAGAAGGUUGAGGGGUGUGUGGUCAGCUCAUGGACAUUCUUCUGAUUGGUUGGUGCUGAGGUAAUUGGGAGUCAACAUCAUCAACCUUCUGGUUCCUAUAGGUCUAGGGUCUAUGUGCUGGUAGUCAGCAUAGAGUUAACUUCUUCCCCCUGGUGAGGUUUUCAAUGUCUGCAAAACAGCUCAAAGGACAUGGCUCAGAAUACUAUCUAUAGCCCUUGAGAAGGAACUAAAGUUCCCUGACUGUUUAAUGGCUAAACUAUUAUUAUUUUGUCUUGCUUGACUGUUUUCCUUUGUUUCUGCAUUUUCUCACUUCUCUGAUUAAAUUUAUUCUUUGGAACUCGGGGAAGGCCUGGGAGCCUAAAGUUUUACUACAAACAAGAGGCAGGUGGAGGACAUGGAGGGGGGGGUCUGUACCAGGAAGGCCCCAUAGGGUCCUGCUUGGUUACAUUACUAUGUGCUAAGCAUUUUUCUAGAUACAGCAGUGAACAAAGCACAAGAGAUCUCAGCCUCAUGGAUCUCAAAUCCCUGUCCUUGUGGAGCAACACAGACAACACACAAGUAAGUAUGACGACAAUGAACCAACACUAGGAUGAGAAAGACCUUGUGAUGGAAGGUGUCGGGAGGGGUGACCUUAGAGAGGCCAGGGGUCUCUGAAAAGAAAACCUCUCAGUGGGGCCCCAAAUGGUGAGGGUGAGCCCUCAUUGAGGGGACCCCCAUUCACGUCAAAGUGGGGGAGCCCACAGUUGGGGUGCUGAGUUCAGGGAGGGAAUGGCUGGGCUUUCAGGCUCCGGGACACAGGGCUGCUAUUCUGGUGGGUCAGAAGAGACCAGCUGGGGCAGAGAGUGGAGUCCCAGGCAGCUGCUGUUCCUCCUGCCUCCAGCCUGGGAGCCAGGAGGUGGGCCUGGUCUUUGCCCUCACCUUGGGGAAGGAUGAACCCCUCUACCUGCUGGGGCCACCACCUUGGGCAGGUGCAAACAUUGUUUUCAGGCAAGAGCAACAAAGAGUGAGCUACCCCUGACAUAUUCAGGGAAAUCAGCUAUUGGAUUUUAAUCCAAAUAUCUUCCGAGGUGGAGGCGGGGCACAGAAAGGCUUGGGUGAGCCUGGCCACCUCCUGCCACGCCACGUGUCCAGCUCAGUAGCGGAGCAGAAGGGCACUGGGAGCUGAAUGAGUUGCCCUGAGGUGUGAACUCAAGUUACUCAGCACUGCUCUGUGGGGGUUGAACUCAAAUGUUUUGCCAAAACAACUGCAGAAGAAUAAAUAAACAAAAGGAAGGAAAGUAGAAAGGGAUACAACCCUCUUAAUAAUCCAAUUAAAAUGAGAACCUAAUCUGCCUACUUUCUUUUUUUUUGAAUUUUAUUUUAUUUAUUUUUUUAUACAGCAGGUUCUUAUUCGUUACCCAUUUUAUACAUAUUAGUGUAUAUAUGUCAAUCCCAAUCUCCCAGUUCAUCCCACCACCACCCCCCCGCCACUUUCCCCCCUUUAAUCUGCCUACUUUCUAAAGCCAUUGCUUUAGAACCAGGCCACGUGCUCAGCACUGCCCUGUGGUUUGGCGAGGAGUGUUUAGCACACGCUGCAGCAAGGCAGCCCAGGGGAAAUAUUUGGAAGAGACUUACAGGAAGAGAGGUGAUUACUGGGAAGCAUGGUGGUAGGACCUCCCCCACUCCCUUCCAAAACAUUUCUUGAGCACCACUUACGUGCUGGCACCAGUACCACGGGGACAACGAUGAACAGACUGCCCGGGCCCUCAUUCUGCCCACAGCACGUGGAGGCGCAGGCCUUUAAGGUGACUUGCUGGCAAUGGGCGGGGCUGAGACUUGCUUCUAGGCUGUCAGAGUCCAAACCCACUGUGUUGGGAAAAAGACCAAGGUUUGGAUGGCCAGCUCUUGGCAGCCUGAAAAGGUGUGUCUGCGGUUUCCUGCUCUCCUCCAUCCUGUUUAAAUGCCCUUCUUUCUCACCACUCCUCCUCUUCCCAGCAGAGGCCCCACCUAAGAAGGAGGCUUUUCUCCCUGUGUGCCAGGAAAGGGCUCACUUGAUUUCUUCCAGGUCCAAAGGGGAAACUGGCCCUUCAAAAAAAUUAUCCGAGCCGCUACAUGAUCUCCAGGAGCUCGCUUGAAUGGGUGUAUGUAUGUAUCUGUUGAGCUACCUAUGGCUCUGAACCUCCUUUUGGCCAUUUUUCAAUGGGCGGUUGGAACAACUUGCUUCCCAGUGUGAGCACCUGCCCCAGUGAUUGACAGACGCCAAGGGAAGGACCACAUCCAUCUCAAAGAACAUCAGUCAGGUCUGCCCACCUAGCAGUUUCAAGUUGGAAGGAGGCUGGGGACUGGUAACAUGGCCAUAUGGGGAGAAGGUGCAGUCUCUCCAACUCUGCACACUAGGUGUGCUUGCUUGCCCUGCAGACCAGCUCACACCUGGCAGCUCUUAUUCCCUCUCCUAAGAAGUGAGAUGAAGCACAGCUGAAUUCAGAACUAGCUCCAAAGAGCUGCUCUGAGUGACUCUUGCAGAGAAAAGAGUAAGCUUCCAUGCAUUUGCCAGGCUGGAGGGCACAUCACCCGUUGCAAUCGCCUGAUGCUUCUCACUUGGGGCUUUUAGGGGCUCAUGGAGUUACAAAGCAAUUAGUCUUAUCUCCCUCUGUGGACUUCCCUCCUCCUUCCCCUGCCCAGAGACGGAGGAGUCUUGGACUUGGGGACGACACUGACCCUUGGCUAGGCUGUGCCUGUGCUGACAGAGAUGGAGCCAAGACUCAGCAGCUGUGAGUGGAGAGAGAGCCGAAGCUUCAAGGCAAGGGUCUUAUGCAAAGGAUCUAACCAUCUUUUAUCUGGUGGGACUGUCGACAUUUCUGUUUAUAACUGAUGCAUUUGUACAACCGGGACACACUUUAGAGGGGGAAACACCCUUUAUCCAAAUGUCCAAGUACUAUAGAAAAAUGAACAUCUUACUUUUCACAAUACCAAACAAGAUUUGAUUUUCUUUUCAUAGCACAUGGAUUUUAUUUUGAUGGGCUAGUCUGGUAAAUCCUAUAAU
Long non-coding RNA from Balaenoptera ricei (Rice's whale), 5310 nucleotides. RefSeq lists it as uncharacterized. The record is from RefSeq and is a predicted model, not a curated record. The transcript has 4 exons. Lineage: Eukaryota; Metazoa; Chordata; Mammalia; Artiodactyla; Balaenopteridae.